CGGAGCUAACGCGUUAAGUCGACCGCCUGGGGAGUACGGCCGCAAGGUUAAAACUCAAAUGAAUUGACGGGGGCCCGCACAAGCGGUGGAGCAUGUGGUUUAAUUCGAUGCAACGCGAAGAACCUUACCUGGUCUUGACAUCCACGGAAGUUUUCAGAGAUGAGAAUGUGCCUUCGGGAACCGUGAGACAGGUGCUGCAUGGCUGUCGUCAGCUCGUGUUGUGAAAUGUUGGGUUAAGUCCCGCAACGAGCGCAACCCUUAUCCUUUGUUGCCAGCGGUCCGGCCGGGAACUCAAAGGAGACUGCCAGUGAUAAACUGGAGGAAGGUGGGGAUGACGUCAAGUCAUCAUGGCCCUUACGACCAGGGCUACACACGUGCUACAAUGGCGCAUACAAAGAGAAGCGACCUCGCGAGAGCAAGCGGACCUCAUAAAGUGCGUCGUAGUCCGGAUUGGAGUCUGCAACUCGACUCCAUGAAGUCGGAAUCGCUAGUAAUCGUGGAUCAGAAUGCCACGGUGAAUACGUUCCCGGGCCUUGUACACACCGCCCGUCACACCAUGGGAGUGGGUUGCAAAAGAAGUAGGUAGCUUAACCUUCGGGAGGGCGCUUACCACUUUGUGAUUCAUGACUGGGGUGAAGUCGUAACAAGGUAACCGUAGGGGAACCUGCGGUUGGA
Molecule: ribosomal RNA, 675 nt
Filed under: Escherichia coli
Lineage: Bacteria; Pseudomonadati; Pseudomonadota; Gammaproteobacteria; Enterobacterales; Enterobacteriaceae
Description: bacterial SSU rRNA
Rfam family: Bacterial small subunit ribosomal RNA
Source: RNAcentral